Long non-coding RNA from Pollicipes pollicipes, 1497 nucleotides. RefSeq lists it as uncharacterized. Lineage: Eukaryota; Metazoa; Arthropoda; Thecostraca; Pollicipedomorpha; Pollicipedidae. The transcript has 3 exons. The record is from RefSeq and is a predicted model, not a curated record.
GCCAUAUGCUGCAGGUAUGCUCUCGCAUUGUCGUCGAUAAUCCUUGACCAAAUGGCUGUUUUGCACUUGAAUUCUGAGUACCCAUACUAAUGGUUACCUUGUCAUUAGUGCCGGCUGAGAAAUGAAGGUUUAGUGCACCCAAGGUACAGGCGGCUGGAGCCAACUGGCAAUACAAGGCUAACGUCGAACUGCGCAAAAAGCAUCUUGCACAUCUUUAUUAGACUGAACAGCAAGUAAACUAUGCAGGAAACAAUCAGCAUCUCCAAUGAGUGCGGAUAGCUAGGACCUAACCGCCGCAGCUCUGAAGAAAGCUCUGUAUGAAUUUGUACUGACUGGUGUAUUUGAUUUCACAGCUGGUUAUUGGCAAGCACAGGUUCUCAGCUCAUGCAUGCGAGGCUUUUUUAACUAAAUUUAGAUAAUUGCGCCAUGUCGAGACUGUGAGCGAUCGAAGUACCUAUCAAACCCUACUCAAGAGCAAUGAGCACUUCAAAGGCCACUCUACCACCCUUGGGGAAGCUUCCCCCGGUUUCACCAACUGCUGACACUUCUGAAACGUUCUCUAGUGUUGUGCAGUCUGACAAAGUUAUUUCGUCGGAAAGCUCAUCCCCUAAGAAAAAUGGGGACGCAGACCAUAAGACGAACUCGACCCCAGGCUUCGUGGUUGAUGAAAGCGCGCCAUCUGCAGAAGAAGAUACGCCUUUGAAGGUGCAGCUUAUUGCAGAGGGAAGUUUCACUACUGACUCGUCAAAACUGGAUGGCGCCACGUACGAGUUCGGCUUCUAUCAAGUGUCGAAGGAAAAGCGGUGGUUCCUUUACGGCUCUCUGCUGGUCGUAUCGGCUCUGAUAGUGCUGCUCAUGAUUUGGGGGAUCAUCAUGGCAGUCUCUUAAACGAGACAAAACGGCCAAGCAUAGAGCCAGCCGUGCUGCAGAACGGGUCCGGGACUGAUCGCACAGCCGGGACCAGAUCACCGCCGCCGCAGCGAGACGGGAGGGGCUUACUCAGCACACCGCCGUCUAUGCGUCUGAUACAGGGUAUCAUGCGCUUUGCAAAACACAUGAUACUGUGCAAAGUAAACAAGCUAUCCGUAGGUGUUUUGCAGCAAAGCAAGGAAAUGCAAACGGAUUUAUGGGGGCAGCUUGAUGAUAUUGGGACUUGUUAAACGGGUUAUUUGUAGUUAUGUAUGCUAUCGCGUUGCAAGAGCGCGGUUGUUUGCUGACUUAAUGUAUAACUUUGUGUCGCCCUUAGGGCCGUGUUCAUGACCAGAGAUAGUUAAUUUGUCGCGAGCUUUUCCAUGUUGACAUCCUCCAAUCCUGCAGUCUGCAACGUUUACUGGAAUGCACGCGCGAGUUUACUGCUUCUCUAAAAGCCAAUUGUAUAGGUACAACAGCUGUUCGUGUGUGAUCUGAAAAACAACCUCGAAUGAUGCUUAUGGAUUUCCUUGGUGAUGACAGCUUAGCGUGGCCAGCAAUGGUUAAUUUGCAUCCGAAGAAAUGGAA